This 497-nucleotide ribosomal RNA is filed under the name uncultured bacterium. RNAcentral's name for it is "partial 16S ribosomal RNA". It matches the Rfam family "Bacterial small subunit ribosomal RNA", at positions 28 to 507 of the family's 1533-position model. The record is from RNAcentral.
GAUGAACGCUGGCGGCGUGCCUAAUACAUGCAAGUCGAGCGAACAGACGAGGAGCUUGCUCCUCUGACGUUAGCGGCGGACGGGUGAGUAACACGUGGAUAACCUACCUAUAAGACUGGGAUAACUUCGGGAAACCGGAGCUAAUACCGGAUAAUAUAUUGAACCGCAUGGUUCAAUAGUGAAAGACGGUUUUGCUGUCACUUAUAGAUGGAUCCGCGCCGCAUUAGCUAGUUGGUAAGGUAACGGCUUACCAAGGCAACGAUGCGUAGCCGACAUGAGAGGGUGAUCGGCCACACUGGAACUGAGACACGGUACAGACUCCCACGGGAGGCAGCCGUAGGGAAUCUUCCGCAAUGGGCGAAAGCUUGACGGAGCAACGCCGCGUGAGUGAUGAAGGUCUUCGGAUCGUAAAACUCUGUUAUUAGGGAAGAACAAAUGUGUAAGUAACUAUGCACGUCUUGACGGUACCUAAUCAGAAAGCCACGGCUAAAUAAGUG